RNAcentral lists this transfer RNA (65 nucleotides) under Anaplectoidea varia. Its description in RNAcentral is "tRNA-Asp". The record is from RNAcentral. Lineage: Eukaryota; Metazoa; Arthropoda; Insecta; Blattodea; Blattellidae.
GAAAAAUUAGUUAAUAAACAUAACGUCAGAAUGUCAAACUGAAAUAAUCAUAUUGAUAUUUUUCA